Molecule: ribosomal RNA, 253 nt
Filed under: uncultured bacterium
Lineage: Bacteria
Description: partial 16S ribosomal RNA
Rfam family: Bacterial small subunit ribosomal RNA
Source: RNAcentral
UACGUAGGGGGCAAGCGUUGUCCGGAUUUACUGGGCGUAAAGGAUGCGUAGGCGGACAUUUAAGUCAGAUGUGAAAUACCCGAGCUUAACUUGGGUGCUGCAUUUGAAACUGGGUGCCUAGAGUGCAGGAGAGGUAAGUGGAAUUCCUAGUGUAGCGGUGAAAUGCGUAGAGAUUAGGAAGAACACCAGUGGCGAAGGCGGCGAUCUGGGCAGUUACUGACGCUGAGGUGCGAAAGCGUGGGGAGCAAACAGG